This 204-nucleotide unclassified non-coding RNA is filed under the name uncultured Entoloma. RNAcentral describes it as "sequence contains ITS2". Lineage: Eukaryota; Fungi; Basidiomycota; Agaricomycetes; Agaricales; Entolomataceae. The record is from RNAcentral.
AAUUCUCAACCUUUCUGUCUUUUUUCAAGACUAGUCAGGCUUGGAUUGUGGGAGUUGCAGGCUUUUUUCAGAGCCGGCUCUCCUAAAAUGCAUUAGCAAAAUUGUUGCUGGACCAUCGUUGGUAUGAUAAUUAUCUAUAUCAUUGAAGGCUGGCUUGGAUUUAGCUUCUAACUGUGUCCUUGUAAGGACGUCAUUUUUUGACAU